Molecule: ribosomal RNA, 389 nt
Filed under: Cryptosporidium meleagridis
Lineage: Eukaryota; Apicomplexa; Conoidasida; Eucoccidiorida; Cryptosporidiidae
Description: SSU rRNA
Rfam family: Eukaryotic small subunit ribosomal RNA
Source: RNAcentral
GAUUAAUAUUUAUAUAAUAUUAACAUAAUUCAUAUUACUAAAUUUAUUAGUAUAUGAAAUUUUACUUUGAGAAAAUUAGAGUGCUUAAAGCAGGCAUAUGCCUUGAAUACUCCAGCAUGGAAUAAUAUUAAAGAUUUUUAUCUUUCUUAUUGGUUCUAAGAUAAAAAUAAUGAUUAAUAGGGACAGUUGGGGGCAUUUGUAUUUAACAGUCAGAGGUGAAAUUCUUAGAUUUGUUAAAGACAAACUAAUGCGAAAGCAUUUGCCAAGGAUGUUUUCAUUAAUCAAGAACGAAAGUUAGGGGAUCGAAGACGAUCAGAUACCGUCGUAGUCUUAACCAUAAACUAUGCCAACUAGAGAUUGGAGGUUGUUCCUUACUCCUUCAGCACCUU